Molecule: ribosomal RNA, 1475 nt
Filed under: Bacillus pumilus
Lineage: Bacteria; Bacillati; Bacillota; Bacilli; Caryophanales; Bacillaceae
Description: bacterial SSU rRNA
Rfam family: Bacterial small subunit ribosomal RNA
Source: RNAcentral
AGAGUUUGAUCCUGGCUCAGGACGAACGCUGGCGGCGUGCCUAAUACAUGCAAGUCGAGCGGACAGAAGGGAGCUUGCUCCCGGAUGUUAGCGGCGGACGGGUGAGUAACACGUGGGUAACCUGCCUGUAAGACUGGGAUAACUCCGAAACCGGAGCUAAUACCGGAUAGUUCCUUGAACCGCAUGGUUCAAGGAUGAAAGACGGUUUCGGCUGUCACUUACAGAUGGACCCGCGGCGCAUUAGCUGGUGAGGUAACGGCUCACCAAGGCGACGAUGCGUAGCCGACCUGAGAGGGUGAUCGGCCACACUGGGACUGAGACACGGCCCAGACUCCUACGGGAGGCAGCAGUAGGGAAUCUUCCGCAAUGGACGAAAGUCUGACGGAGCAACGCCGCGUGAGUGAUGAAGGUUUUCGGAUCGUAAAGCUCUGUUGUUAGGGAAGAACAAGUGCAAGAGUAACUGCUUGCACCUUGACGGUACCUAACCAGAAAGCCACGGCUAACUACGUGCCAGCAGCCGCGGUAAUACGUAGGUGGCAAGCGUUGUCCGGAAUUAUUGGGCGUAAAGGGCUCGCAGGCGGUUUCUUAAGUCUGAUGUGAAAGCCCCCGGCUCAACCGGGGAGGGUCAUUGGAAGCUGGGAAACUUGAGUGCAGAGGAGAGUGGAAUUCCACGUGUAGCGGUGAAAUGCGUAGAGAUGUGGAGGAACACCAGUGGCGAAGGCGACUCUCUGGUCUGUAACUGACGCUGAGGAGCGAAAGCGUGGGGAAACAGGAUUAGAUACCCUGGUAGUCCACGCCGUAAACGAUGAGUGCUAAGUGUUAGGGGGUUUCCGCCCCUUAGUGCUGCAGCUAACGCAUUAAGCACUCCGCCUGGGGAGUACGGUCGCAAGACUGAAACUCAAAGGAAUUGACGGGGGCCCGCACAGGUGGAGCAUGUGGUUUAAUUCGAAGCAACGCGAAGAACCUUACCAGGUGACAUCCUCUGACAACCCUGAGAUAGGGCUUUCCCUUCGGGGACAGAGUGACAGGUGGUGCAUGGUUGUCGUCAGCUCGUGUCGUGAGAUGUUGGGUUUCCCGCAACGAGCGCAACCCUUGAUCUUAGUUGCCAGCAUUUAGUUGGGCACUCUAAGACUGCCGGUGACAAACCCGAAGAAGGUGGGGAUGACGUCAAAUCAUCAUGCUUAUGACCUGGGCUACACACGUGCUACAAUGGACAGAACAAAGGGCUGCGAGACCGCAAGGUUUAGCCAACCCCACAAAUCUGUUCUCAGUUCGGAUCGCAGUCUGCAACUCGACUGCGUGAAGCUGGAAUCGCUAGUAAUCGAUCAGCAUGCCGCGGUGAAUACGUUCCCGGGCCUUGUACACACCGCCCGUCACACCACGAGAGUUUGUAACACCCGAAGUCGGUGAAACCUUUUGGAGCCAGCCGCCUAAGGUGGGAAAUGAUUGGGGUGAAGUCGUAACAAGGUAGCCGU